Quercus robur (English oak) is the source of this 827-nucleotide long non-coding RNA. RefSeq lists it as uncharacterized. The transcript is spliced from 3 exons. The record is from RefSeq and is a predicted model, not a curated record. NCBI's taxonomy places the organism in Eukaryota, Viridiplantae, Streptophyta, Magnoliopsida, Fagales, Fagaceae.
UCAUUUCUCAGCAUCUUCCGCAGUGUACUGACCUGAAAAGCAAGUCCACAUGAUUUUUUUCUCAUCUAUAUCCACUUAUUAUUAUGCUACAUUAAUGAUAGCUUCACUCGCUUUUAUUUUUCUCACUUUCUUCCAAAAGAUUAGCAUUUAGCAAACAAGGGUUGCUUUGUUCUAUUUUCUUGCCUCUGUGUUUUUAUUUUUCUUGUAUGUUAUUAUGACUAGCAGCCAAUCAGUCCGUGUAUCUAAACUUCUCCUCUGAUUUAUACCCUAAAAAACUUCUCCUCUGAUUUCUAAACAGUUGUUGCCUAAUUUGUAGAUUUGGCUUUCUUUUUGAGAGAGAGAGAGGACUGGACGGUCCAUGGCCUCUUAUUAUCUCUGCUUCAAUUAGUGUGUUUCUCCUUUAUUGAAUCAGAGUCUAUCAAGAAGUGUAUGCUUUUCAGACCAGGGUCUUUCCAAUGGAUAUUGGUUCGAUUGUUGGAAACAUAAUUCCUUUAGUAGGCAAAUAUUGGAGUUAUCACAAAGAGGCUGAUCAACACGUGAAGAAUCUGAAGAGAAAAUGGGAAUUAUUGGAAAGCCGGAAGGAUGACAUAAAAAAAAAUUGGAUUCAGAACUUCGUCAAGGAAAAAAAUCAAAGCAAGAAGUUGAAGUUUGGCUUCGAAAUGUAGAAACAAUUAAGGGUGAGAGAGACAUUGGACAAGAACCUGCCAGAUGGAUGUUCCUCUCACGUAUGCAGACGGGAGAAUUUGCUUUUAAGAAGACAAAAGAGGUGGAGGAACUUUAUCAAGUGGGUUAUUUCAUUGAUGGUUUAUUUCUUGAUCUACCUAAAC